GGAAGUAAAAGUCGUAACAGGGUUUCCGUAGGUGAACCUGCGGAAGGAUCAUUAUUGUAUAACCGAGGUGCGAGGGCUGUCGCUGACCCGAAAGGUCGUGCACGCCCGAGUGCCCUCACACACAUCCAUCUCACCCCUAUGUGCACCACCGCGUGGGUCCCCCUUUGGCUCGUUCGGAGGGGGGCUUACGUUUUCACACAAACUCUGUAUGCAGUGUAGAAUGUAUUUUUUGUUUUUGCGAUCACGCAAUCAAUACAACUUUCAACAACGGAUCUCUUGGCUCUC
RNAcentral lists this unclassified non-coding RNA (285 nucleotides) under plant metagenome. RNAcentral describes it as "partial contains small subunit ribosomal RNA, internal transcribed spacer 1, and 5.8S ribosomal RNA". The stretch from base 1 to 54 matches the Rfam family "Eukaryotic small subunit ribosomal RNA", at positions 1778 to 1831 of the family's 1831-position model. The record is from RNAcentral.